UUGACAAGAACUCAGCCACACGCAACCCGAAAGGACGAGUCCAUUCGGCCUUCUGACCGGGGAAAACACGCCCCCGGGACGUGCGGAUUUAAGCGGCCGCAGACGAGUGCAGAUGAGGAGUAUGAAAGGAGCAGAGCAGGCCACUUUGAAACUUUUGACUGUGAAAAGGAAAAGUGGGACAGUGGAUCUCCUCUGGGACAGGCAGAGUGAAAAGUGCAUGGACAGAGCUCAUGAGGAGACCUUCACCAGUCAAGACAUGACCAGCGCAUCUUGUGGCCGACUGCCUUUUUUUCUUCAUGUUUAAUCCUUUUGGAGUAUGCAUCCAUAAAGCAAUCAAUUCAAAUGCACGCUCAGCCACAGAGAGAUGCUUUUUCACUGAAACAUGCCCGACUGAAUGUGCAGUUCCACCCACGCUCUGUCCUUCCAUUGUCUAUCAUAAUGAUCUACAAUACCUUCAACUCCUGGGAAUUAUAUGGGGAAAGAAAGAAGAAGUUGAUGGCUGUUACUUGUGCUUUUUACGUCAGCAAUACCACCUUUAUGUUCCCCCGCUCUCUCCUUGACAUAAACAUUUCACACGAUCUCACGUUAUGAUAUACUGCAUUACUGUAUCUAUUUUUCACGCUGCAAUAUUUUCUUGGGAUGCGCUGAUACCGAUGCUGACACCGUACGUAUUUAUGCGUACUCAGACUCAAAAAAAUGCUCCGAUACUUCGACUACCGAUAUCACCUUACCAGCCCGACAGGUGGAGUAGCACCCAUGUCAAAAUGUGUAGAGAUGACUUUAAAGUAAAUACGAAUGACAAAACUUUGUCAGCUGACUGUAAAUUAUGCUCUACAAAAUGGAGGCUCACCUCCACUCGGGCGGCAACCGAGGUGGCGUUCUCAAGAAGCAGUCUUGGAUUUCUUUUUUUUUUUUUUUCCUUUUUACUCACCUUUUACCUCAUACAGAGGUAACAUAGCAUCUGUGUUCCGGCAAACUUUGUGCUUUCUUCUUACCUCAUCCCACCUCUUUACUCGUUUUGUGUUCGGACUGAGACGCCACGUAACUGAAGUGCCUUGUGUUACAGGCUACAUAGAGUAGAAGUGCAAUGUGUGGUCCAACUGUUCGGAAAGCAUACAGUUGGAUGUUAAAGUGUCAGUAAUAACAAGUGUUAUGUUUGAUGGCAAGACGUUAUGACAUUAUCAAGUAUUGCUACUCGGUUUCGGCGAGUACUCAAAUGUAAGUACUUG
Long non-coding RNA from Phycodurus eques (leafy seadragon), 1229 nucleotides. RefSeq lists it as uncharacterized. The record is from RefSeq and is a predicted model, not a curated record. Lineage: Eukaryota; Metazoa; Chordata; Actinopteri; Syngnathiformes; Syngnathidae. The transcript is spliced from 2 exons.